RNAcentral lists this ribosomal RNA (275 nucleotides) under uncultured bacterium. RNAcentral's name for it is "partial 16S ribosomal RNA". It matches the Rfam family "Bacterial small subunit ribosomal RNA", at positions 399 to 691 of the family's 1533-position model. The record is from RNAcentral.
GCGUGGGUGAAGAAGGUCUUCGGAUUGUAAAGCCCUUUCGGCGGGGACGAUGAUGACGGUACCCGCAGAAGAAGCCCCGGCUAACUUCGUGCCAGCAGCCGCGGUAAUACGAAGGGGGCUAGCGUUGCUCGGAAUUACUGGGCGUAAAGGGCGCGUAGGCGGCGGUAGUAGUCAGGCGUGAAAUUCCUGGGCUUAACCUGGGGGCUGCGCUUGAUACGCUAUUGCUAGAGGAUGGAAGAGGCUCGUGGAAUUCCCAGUGUAGAGGUGAAAUUCGU